Molecule: ribosomal RNA, 329 nt
Filed under: uncultured eukaryote
Lineage: Eukaryota
Description: partial 18S ribosomal RNA
Rfam family: Eukaryotic small subunit ribosomal RNA
Source: RNAcentral
CCCUUAGAUGUUCUGGGCCGCACGCGCGCUACACUGAUGCAUUCAACGAGUCUAAAACCUGGUCUGAGAGGGCUGGGUAAUCUUUUGAGAGUGCAUCGUGAUUGGGAUAGAUGAUUGCAAUUCUUCAUCUUCAACGAGGAAUGCCUAGUAAACGCAAGUCAUCAGCUUGCAUUGAUUACGUCCCUGCCCUUUGUACACACCGCCCGUCGCUCCUACCGAUUGAACGAUCCGAUGAAAACUGUGGAUUGAGAGUCUGAGUGGGUUCGCCUACCUCAACUUUCGAGAAGCGGUUUAAAUCUUAUCGUUUAGAGGAAGGAGAAGUCGUAACA